ACAAGGACAGCACAUUGAUCAUGCAACUUCUUCGAGACAAUCUGACUCUUUGGACUUCUGAUAUAACGGAUGAUGCUGGGGACGAGAUCAAGGACACUUCAAAACCCGAAUCUGGUGAGGAACAGCAGUGACAGUAGCGUUGUAGAGUUGUGAGCACCAUUUGUUGUUCUACCAUUGAAUUUCUUCUGUUGUAGCAAGACUUGAGGGAUUUGGUAUGUCGAGUGCAGUAGUCCCUUGAAUCUUGAAACGUUUUUUGUUAUAAGAACAUAGAGUCAGUUAUAAGGCGUGCAAACUUAUUUAUUUGUCAUGUUUUAUUAUUAUUUUUUUAUUUGUACUCUAUUUGUUGGUCGCACUAAGCAAUAUGUAUUGAAUUGGAGGAUCAAAUUUAUUUUGCAAGUUUUAUGAUUUCUGUAGUACAUCAUUUGGAUU
Molecule: long non-coding RNA, 429 nt
Organism: Olea europaea var. sylvestris
Lineage: Eukaryota; Viridiplantae; Streptophyta; Magnoliopsida; Lamiales; Oleaceae
Exons: 2
Source: RefSeq, a predicted model, not a curated record